This 472-nucleotide ribosomal RNA is filed under the name uncultured bacterium. RNAcentral describes it as "bacterial SSU rRNA". It matches the Rfam family "Bacterial small subunit ribosomal RNA", at positions 355 to 825 of the family's 1533-position model. The record is from RNAcentral.
UGGGGAAUUUUGGACAAUGGGGGCAACCCUGAUCCAGCAAUGCCGCGUGAGUGAAGAAGGCCUUCGGGUUGUAAAGCUCUUUCGGCGGGGACGAAACGGUCCGUGACAACACCACGGACUAAUGACAGUACUCGCAGAAGAAGCACCGGCUAACUACGUGCCAGCAGCCGCGGUAAUACGUAGGGUGCAGGCGUUAAUCGGAAUUACUGGGCGUAAAGCGUGCGCAGGCGGCUCCUUAAGUCAGAUGUGAAAUCCCCUGGCUUAACCUGGGAACUGCGUUUGAAACUGAGGGGCUAGAGUAUGGGAGAGGGAUGUAGAAUUCCAGGUGUAGCGGUGAAAUGCGUAGAUAUCUGGAGGAAUACCGGUGGCGAAGGCGGCAUCCUGGACCAUUACUGACGCUGAGGCGCGAAAGCUAGGGGAGCAAACGGGAUUAGAUACCCCAGUAGUCCCUGAGCGGGCUGGCAAGGCGCAU